This 492-nucleotide ribosomal RNA is filed under the name uncultured bacterium. RNAcentral's name for it is "partial 16S ribosomal RNA". It matches the Rfam family "Bacterial small subunit ribosomal RNA", at positions 29 to 507 of the family's 1533-position model. The record is from RNAcentral.
AGUGAACGCUGGCGGUAGGCCUAACACAUGCAAGUCGAACGGCAGCACAGUACUAGCUUGCUCUUACGGGUGGCGACUGGCGGACGGGUGAGGAAUACAUCGGAAUCUACUUUUUCGUGGGGGAUAACGUAGGGAAACUUACGCUAAUACCGCAUACGACCUACGGGUGAAAGCAGGGGAUCUUCGGCCCUUGCGCGAUUGAAUGAGCCGAUGUCGGAUUAGCUAGUUGGCGGGGUAAAGGCCCACCAAGGCGACGAUCCGUAGCUGGUCUGAGAGGAUGAGCAGCCACACGGGAACUGAGACACGGUCCAGACUCCUACGGGAGGCAACAGUGGGGAAUAUUGGACAAUGGGGGCAAGCCUGAUCCAGCCAUACCGCGUGAGUGAAGAAGGCCUUCGGGUUGUAAAGCCCUUUUGUUGGGAAAGAAAUCCAGCCGGCUAAUACCUGGUUGGGAUGACGGUACCCAAAGAAUAAGCACCGGCUAACUUCGUG